CACGGGUGAGUAACACGUAUCCAACCUGCCGUCUACUCUUGGCCAGCCUUCUGAAAGGAAGAUUAAUCCAGGAUGGGAUCAUGAGUUCACAUGUCCGCAUGAUUAAAGGUAUUUUCCGGUAGACGAUGGGGAUGCGUUCCAUUAGAUAGUAGGCGGGGUAACGGCCCACCUAGUCAACGAUGGAUAGGGGUUCUGAGAGGAAGGUCCCCCACAUUGGAACUGAGACACGGUCCAAACUCCUACGGGAGGCAGCAGUGAGGAAUAUUGGUCAAUGGGCGAUGGCCUGAACCAGCCAAGUAGCGUGAAGGAUGACUGCCCUAUGGGUUGUAAACUUCUUUUAUAAAGGAAUAAAGUCGGGUAUGCAUACCCGUUUGCAUGUACUUUAUGAAUAAGGAUCGGCUAACUCCGUGCCAGCAGCCGCGGUAAUACGGAGGAUCCGAGCGUUAUCCGGAUUUAUUGGGUUUAAAGGGAGCGUAGAUGGAUGUUUAAGUCAGUUGUGAAAGUUUGCGGCUCAACCGUAAAAUUGCAGUUGAUACUGGAUGUCUUGAGUGCAGUUGAGGCAGGCGGAAUUCGUGGUGUAGCGGUGAAAUGCUUAGAUAUCACGAAGAACUCCGAUUGCGAAGGCAGCCUGCUAAGCUNGCAACUGACAUUGAG
This 654-nucleotide ribosomal RNA is filed under the name uncultured Bacteroidales bacterium. RNAcentral describes it as "bacterial SSU rRNA". It matches the Rfam family "Bacterial small subunit ribosomal RNA", at positions 100 to 750 of the family's 1533-position model. The record is from RNAcentral. Lineage: Bacteria; Pseudomonadati; Bacteroidota; Bacteroidia; Bacteroidales.